RNAcentral lists this long non-coding RNA (325 nucleotides) under Solanum tuberosum (potato). RNAcentral's name for it is "long non-coding RNA (STUB_LNC001732)". The record is from RNAcentral. Lineage: Eukaryota; Viridiplantae; Streptophyta; Magnoliopsida; Solanales; Solanaceae.
UGUUGAUGUGAGGCCAAAAAAUAUAUAUUUUAAUCAUUAUUCGCCUCACAUUUAUUAUUUAUAUUUGUCCCUUUUGAGCAUUAAUUUUAUGAAUUGUGCUUAAUAGUGUAUUUUAUUUGUAGGAUUAAAUUGGUGGAAAGUUCAAGAAGUUUGAAGCUAAAACGAAUUAAAGAUGGAAGGUUGAAGAAGGAAAUCAAGCAGAUAGCUUAAUGAAUUAAAUUUUAUAAAAUAAUAUAUAUUUUAGUGGAAGUAGAAUUGGAAUUGGAAUUGAAAAUUCCACGUGGCAUCAUAUGAAGAACGAAGAUGGGCAGGAAACUCGGCAGAG